Molecule: unclassified non-coding RNA, 421 nt
Filed under: Vallisneria sp. Tropiland1
Lineage: Eukaryota; Viridiplantae; Streptophyta; Magnoliopsida; Alismatales; Hydrocharitaceae
Also listed under: 1 other name
Description: partial contains ITS1, 5.8S rRNA and ITS2
Rfam family: 5.8S ribosomal RNA (bases 166-321)
Source: RNAcentral
UUUCCCCCAUCCCUCCGCGAGUCCUCCGGGUGCCUCGCGGUAAAACCAACGAACCCCCGGCGCGGAUCGCGUCAAGGAUUACAAGAGAGGGCGCGRCUCGUGGUUCGUGCGGUACUCCAUGGAGCGCAUCGUGCCACGACCAGCCCCUGCAUGCGCAACAAAUACGACUCUCGGCAACGGAUAUCUAGGCUCUCGCAUCGAUGAAGAACGUAGCGAAAUGCGAUACUUGGUGUGAAUUGCAGAAUCCCGUGAACCAUCGAGUUUUUGAACGCAAGUUGCGCCCGGAGCCGUGAGGCCGAGGGCACGCCUGCCUGGGUGUCAUGUAUACGAUCGUUGCUGCCUCCAACGUGCUGGGGCUCCUGYAAGCGGAUGAUGGCUGUCCGUGUAUCGUCGCGKAGGGCUGAAUGUUUGUUAAUGCGGC